RNAcentral lists this ribosomal RNA (506 nucleotides) under uncultured bacterium. RNAcentral describes it as "partial 16S ribosomal RNA". It matches the Rfam family "Bacterial small subunit ribosomal RNA", at positions 29 to 523 of the family's 1533-position model. The record is from RNAcentral.
AGUGAACGCUGGCGGUAGGCCUAACACAUGCAAGUCGAACGGCAGCACAGGAGAGCUUGCUCUCUGGGUGGCGAGUGGCGGACGGGUGAGGAAUACAUCGGAAUCUACUCUGUCGUGAGGGAUAACGUAGGGAAACUUACGCUAAUACCGACUACGACCUACGGGGGAAAGCAGGGGACCUUCGGGCCUUGGGCGACUGAAUGAGCCGAUGUCGGAUUAGCUAGGUGGCGGGGUAAAGGCCCACCAAGGCGACGAUCCGUAGCUGGUCGGAGAGGAUGAUCAGCCACACUGGAACUGAGACACGGUCCAGACUCCUACGGGAGGCAGCAGUGGGGAAUAUUGGACAAUGGGCGCAAGCCUGAUCCAGCCAUACCGCGUGGGUGAAGAAGGCCUUCGGGUUGUAAAGCCCUUUUGUUGGGAAAGAAAUCCAGCUGGCUAAUACCCGGUUGGGAUGACGGUACCCAAAGAAUAAGCACCGGCUAACUUCGUGCCAGCCGCCGCCGUAA